RNAcentral lists this ribosomal RNA (251 nucleotides) under uncultured Gardnerella sp. RNAcentral's name for it is "partial 16S ribosomal RNA". It matches the Rfam family "Bacterial small subunit ribosomal RNA", at positions 104 to 355 of the family's 1533-position model. Lineage: Bacteria; Bacillati; Actinomycetota; Actinomycetes; Bifidobacteriales; Bifidobacteriaceae. The record is from RNAcentral.
GGGUGAGUAAUGCGUGACCAACCUGCCCCAUGCUCCAGAAUAGCUCUUGGAAACGGGUGGUAAUGCUGGAUGCUCCAACUUGACGCAUGUCUUGUUGGGAAAGUGUUUAGUGGCAUGGGAUGGGGUCGCGUCCUAUCAGCUUGUAGGCGGGGUAAUGGCCCACCUAGGCUUCGACGGGUAGCCGGCCUGAGAGGGCGGACGGCCACAUUGGGACUGAGAUACGGCCCAGACUCCUACGGGAGGCAGCAGCC